GACGAACGCUGGCGGCGUGCCUAACACGUGCAAGUCGAGCGGGGUCCAUCCGGUAGCAAUACCGGGGAAGACCUAGCGGCGAACGGUGAGUAACACGUGAGAAACCUGCCCCGAAGUCUGGGAUAACCCGAGGAAACUCGAGCUAAUACCGGAUGUCUUCUUCUGAUCGCAUGGUCGGAUGAAGAAAGAUUUAUCGCUUCGGGAGGGUCUCGCGGCCUAUCAGCUAGUUGGCGGGGUAACGGCCCACCAAGGCGUCGACGGGUAGCUGGUCUGAGAGGACGAUCAGCCACACUGGGACUGAGACACGGCCCAGACUCCUACGGGAGGCAGCAGUGGGGAAUAUUGCGCAAUGGGCGAAAGCCUGACGCAGCAACGCCGCGUGCGGGAUGAAGGCCUUCGG
Molecule: ribosomal RNA, 400 nt
Filed under: uncultured bacterium
Lineage: Bacteria
Description: bacterial SSU rRNA
Rfam family: Bacterial small subunit ribosomal RNA
Source: RNAcentral